AUUGAACGCUGGCGGUAUGCUUAACACAUGCAAGUCGAACGGUAGCAGCUCUUCGGAGGCUGACGAGUGGCGGACGGGUGAGUAACGCGUAGGAAUCUGCCUGUUAGUGGGGGACAACUUAGGGAAACUUAAGCUAAUACCGCAUACGCCCUACGGGGGAAAGGAGGGGAGUCUUCGGACCUUUCGCUAACAGAUGAGCCUGCGUAGGAUUAGCUAGUUGGUAGGGUAAAAGCCUACCAAGGCGACGAUCCUUAGCUGUUCUGAGAGGAAGAUCAGCCACACUGGGACUGAGACACGGCCCAGACUCCUACGGGAGGCAGCAGUGGGGAAAUAUUGGACAAUGGGCAAAGCCUGAUCCAGCAAUACCGCGUGUGUGAAGAAGGCCUUAGGGUUGUAAAAGCACUUUCAGUAGGGAGGAAGGGUUGGACUGUCUAAUAACGCAUCAACAUUGACGUUA
This 457-nucleotide ribosomal RNA is filed under the name uncultured bacterium. RNAcentral's name for it is "bacterial SSU rRNA". It matches the Rfam family "Bacterial small subunit ribosomal RNA", at positions 30 to 477 of the family's 1533-position model. The record is from RNAcentral.